UACGAAGGGGGCUAGCGUUGCUCGGAAUCACUGGGCGUAAAGCGCACGUAGGCGGCUUUCUAAGUCAGGGGUGAAAUCCUGGAGCUCAACUCCAGAACUGCCUUUGAUACUGGGAAGCUCGAGUCCGGGAGAGGUGAGUGGAACUCCGAGUGUAGAGGUGAAAUUCGUAGAUAUUCGGAAGAACACCAGUGGCGAAGGCGGCUCACUGGCCCGGUACUGACGCUGAGGUGCGAAAGCGUGGGAGCAAACAGG
Molecule: ribosomal RNA, 252 nt
Filed under: uncultured bacterium
Lineage: Bacteria
Description: partial 16S ribosomal RNA
Rfam family: Bacterial small subunit ribosomal RNA
Source: RNAcentral